UACGAAGGGGGCUAGCGUUGUUCGGAAUUACUGGGCGUAAAGCGCACGUAGGCGGCAUUCCAAGUUGGAGGUGAAAUCCCCGGGCUUAACCUGGGAACUGCCUCCAAAACUGGGAAGCUAGAGUCCGAGAGAGGUGAGUGGAAUUUCCAGUGUAGAGGUGAAAUUCGUAGAUAUUGGAAAGAACACCAGUGGCGAAGGCGGCUCACUGGCUCGGUACUGACGCUGAGGUGCGACAGCGUGGGGAGCAAACAGG
RNAcentral lists this ribosomal RNA (253 nucleotides) under uncultured bacterium. RNAcentral describes it as "partial 16S ribosomal RNA". It matches the Rfam family "Bacterial small subunit ribosomal RNA", at positions 524 to 776 of the family's 1533-position model. RNAcentral also lists the same sequence under 1 other name. The record is from RNAcentral.